AGCAAGCUCAGUCCCAACCUGCACAGUCCCAGUUCCAGCAAGCUCAGUCCCAGUUCCAGCAAGCUCAGUCUCAGUCCCAGUCCCAGCCUACACAAGCUCAGUCCCAGCCUGCAAAAGCUCAAGCUCAAGCUCAUUCAAGCACCUUUAGACCAAAGUUCAAAACAUGGAAAUUGUAAUAUUAGGAUAUGUCACUUUAUUUUAGUUUAUGAUCAGUUUAUGAACAAUUUUAGUUGGUGUAUGAUCAAUUUAUGAUCACUUUUUGUUAGUCAAGCACUUUCUGUGAUUUUAUGAUCACUUUAUGUCAUUUUGUAUCACAUGAAACAAAAUUAUGGAUUAUGAAUGAAUUAUGCA
RNAcentral lists this long non-coding RNA (351 nucleotides) under Cicer arietinum (chickpea). RNAcentral describes it as "long non-coding RNA (CARI_LNC000279)". Lineage: Eukaryota; Viridiplantae; Streptophyta; Magnoliopsida; Fabales; Fabaceae. The record is from RNAcentral.